This 2904-nucleotide ribosomal RNA is filed under the name Enterobacter cloacae. RNAcentral describes it as "23S ribosomal RNA". It matches the Rfam family "Bacterial large subunit ribosomal RNA". The record is from RNAcentral. Lineage: Bacteria; Pseudomonadati; Pseudomonadota; Gammaproteobacteria; Enterobacterales; Enterobacteriaceae.
GGUUAAGCGACUAAGCGUACACGGUGGAUGCCCUGGCAGUCAGAGGCGAUGAAGGACGUGCUAAUCUGCGAAAAGCGCCGGCGAGGUGAUAUGAACCCUUGACCCGGCGAUGUCCGAAUGGGGAAACCCAGUGCAAUCCGUUGCACUAUCGUUAACUGAAUACAUAGGUUAACGAGGCGAACCGGGGGAACUGAAACAUCUAAGUACCCCGAGGAAAAGAAAUCAACCGAGAUUCCCCCAGUAGCGGCGAGCGAACGGGGAGCAGCCCAGAGUCUGAAUCAGCUUGUGUGUUAGUGGAAGCGUCUGGAAAGUCGCACGGUACAGGGUGAAAGUCCCGUACACGAAAAUGCACAGGCUGUGAACUCGAAGAGUAGGGCGGGACACGUGGUAUCCUGUCUGAAUAUGGGGGGACCAUCCUCCAAGGCUAAAUACUCCUGACUGACCGAUAGUGAACCAGUACCGUGAGGGAAAGGCGAAAAGAACCCCGGCGAGGGGAGUGAAAAAGAACCUGAAACCGUGUACGUACAAGCAGUGGGAGCACCUUCGUGGUGUGACUGCGUACCUUUUGUAUAAUGGGUCAGCGACUUAUAUUCUGUAGCAAGGUUAACCGUAUAGGGGAGCCGAAGGGAAACCGAGUCUUAACUGGGCGUUAAGUUGCAGGGUAUAGACCCGAAACCCGGUGAUCUAGCCAUGGGCAGGUUGAAGGUUGGGUAACACUAACUGGAGGACCGAACCGACUAAUGUUGAAAAAUUAGCGGAUGACCUGUGGCUGGGGGUGAAAGGCCAAUCAAACCGGGAGAUAGCUGGUUCUCCCCGAAAGCUAUUUAGGUAGCGCCUCGUGAACUCAUCUUCGGGGGUAGAGCACUGUUUCGGCUAGGGGGCCAUCCCGGCUUACCAACCCGAUGCAAACUACGAAUACCGAAGAAUGUUAUCACGGGAGACACACGGCGGGUGCUAACGUCCGUCGUGAAGAGGGAAACAACCCAGACCGCCAGCUAAGGUCCCAAAGUCAUGGUUAAGUGGGAAACGAUGUGGGAAGGCCCAGACAGCCAGGAUGUUGGCUUAGAAGCAGCCAUCAUUUAAAGAAAGCGUAAUAGCUCACUGGUCGAGUCGGCCUGCGCGGAAGAUGUAACGGGGCUAAACCAUGCACCGAAGCUGCGGCAGCGACACUAUGUGUUGUUGGGUAGGGGAGCGUUCUGUAAGCCGUUGAAGGUGGCCUGUGAGGGUUGCUGGAGGUAUCAGAAGUGCGAAUGCUGACAUAAGUAACGAUAAAGCGGGUGAAAAGCCCGCUCGCCGGAAGACCAAGGGUUCCUGUCCAACGUUAAUCGGGGCAGGGUGAGUCGACCCCUAAGGCGAGGCCGAAAGGCGUAGUCGAUGGGAAACAGGUUAAUAUUCCUGUACUUGGUGUUACUGCGAAGGGGGGACGGAGAAGGCUAUGUUAGCCGGGCGACGGUUGUCCCGGUUUAAGCAUGUAGGCGGAGGUUCCAGGUAAAUCCGGUACCUUUUAACGCUGAGGUGUGAUGACGAGGCACUACGGUGCUGAAGUAACAAAUGCCCUGCUUCCAGGAAAAGCCUCUAAGCAUCAGGUAACACGAAAUCGUACCCCAAACCGACACAGGUGGUCAGGUAGAGAAUACCAAGGCGCUUGAGAGAACUCGGGUGAAGGAACUAGGCAAAAUGGUGCCGUAACUUCGGGAGAAGGCACGCUGAUAUGUAGGUGAAGCCCCUGCGGGUGGAGCUGAAAUCAGUCGAAGAUACCAGCUGGCUGCAACUGUUUAUUAAAAACACAGCACUGUGCAAACACGAAAGUGGACGUAUACGGUGUGACGCCUGCCCGGUGCCGGAAGGUUAAUUGAUGGGGUUAGCGGUAACGCGAAGCUCUUGAUCGAAGCCCCGGUAAACGGCGGCCGUAACUAUAACGGUCCUAAGGUAGCGAAAUUCCUUGUCGGGUAAGUUCCGACCUGCACGAAUGGCGUAAUGAUGGCCAGGCUGUCUCCACCCGAGACUCAGUGAAAUUGAACUCGCUGUGAAGAUGCAGUGUACCCGCGGCAAGACGGAAAGACCCCGUGAACCUUUACUAUAGCUUGACACUGAACACUGGUCCUUGAUGUGUAGGAUAGGUGGGAGGCUUUGAAGCGUGGACGCCAGUCUGCGUGGAGCCGUCCUUGAAAUACCACCCUUUAAUGGCUGGUGUUCUAACGUAGACCCGUAAUCCGGGUUGCGGACAGUGUCUGGUAGGUAGUUUGACUGGGGCGGUCUCCUCCCAAAGAGUAACGGAGGAGCACGAAGGUUAGCUAAUCCUGGUCGGACAUCAGGAGGUUAGUGCAAUGGCAUAAGCUAGCUUGACUGCGAGAGUGACGGCUCGAGCAGGUGCGAAAGCAGGUCAUAGUGAUCCGGUGGUUCUGAAUGGAAGGGCCAUCGCUCAACGGAUAAAAGGUACUCCGGGGAUAACAGGCUGAUACCGCCCAAGAGUUCAUAUCGACGGCGGUGUUUGGCACCUCGAUGUCGGCUCAUCACAUCCUGGGGCUGAAGUAGGUCCCAAGGGUAUGGCUGUUCGCCAUUUAAAGUGGUACGCGAGCUGGGUUUAGAACGUCGUGAGACAGUUCGGUCCCUAUCUGCCGUGGGCGCUGGAGAAUUGAGGGGGGCUGCUCCUAGUACGAGAGGACCGGAGUGGACGCAUCACUGGUGUUCGGGUUGUCAUGCCAAUGGCACUGCCCGGUAGCUAAAUGCGGAAGAGAUAAGUGCUGAAAGCAUCUAAGCACGAAACUUGCCCCGAGAUGAGUUCUCCCUGAGACUUAAAGUCUCCUGAAGGAACGUUGAAGACGACGACGUUGAUAGGUCGGGUGUGUAAGCGCAGCGAUGCGUUGAGCUAACCGAUACUAAUGAACCGUGAGGCUUAACCUU